Long non-coding RNA from Felis catus (domestic cat), 1461 nucleotides. RefSeq lists it as uncharacterized. NCBI's taxonomy places the organism in Eukaryota, Metazoa, Chordata, Mammalia, Carnivora, Felidae. The transcript has 3 exons. The record is from RefSeq and is a predicted model, not a curated record.
GUUGACAGACAUCAGCUGAGUGAGUGGCAGGUGAAGACCCCAGGACCUACGUCCGUCCAGCUCUUCAUCCUCCUUCUGCCAUAAGCUGCAGACCAAGCAUCAAGCACUCACGGAACUACAAGCAGUGCUGCAAACAUUCGACUAUGUGUCCACGCGGAACCCAGAGACACCCUCUGUUUGCCUGAAAAUGACUGACAGGAUGGAAACUGACCAGUCAUCACCUGCUUCUGGCACCAUCAAGGACUGGUUAACUCAAAAUGCUGGUCCACAUGGGAGGAUGAACCUGGGUUCCAAGAUCAGCCAAAUGCUCUGGGCUCUGGAUCAGAACUCCAGAACUGGACAGUCAAGCUAGGGAGCAUCUUAGAAAUGAGAGAAUAUGGUAAAGGAUACUUUUGGAAGAAGUGAUGUAUUUUUCCUUUCGUUUCAAGAGAAGAAAUUGAGACCAGAGCAAGUUAUCAAUUUAAUCUGUACUCACGUGUAAAAACGCGCACAGAGGUCACACAUCCUGUUCACAGGCAGAUAGAUUCUGAAACCAAAUACCAGGCUGAAUAGGUAUUCCCAUUCCAAAGAAAGAGCUGUACGCAUGUUUUUACUUGCAUUUCAAAACUCUACCAAAUGGCCACAAUCAACUACUUGGGAUUUUUCCUAAUUAGUAUUGCUCUGUGCCUCUGUCACCUUUAGCAGAAAGCUGAAAAUUUGUAACCUUCAAAAUUAGCAGCAGUGAAUGCCAGAAAGCUUUUCAAAAAACAGUCAAUGUGCGUUUGGGACCUAAUUGCUGCACCUGAAAUUGUCGUCUGAGGAUUUUUCAGUCUUCAGAGAAGUCCCCGACCCUUGGGAGAACUAGCGUUCAAACCAAAAGUUUCCCCCAAAUCAUAUACCUGAGAAAAAUGUUAGAACAGAUUUACCCAUAAAGGCAAGGAAAUAAAACGGAGAAUAAACAAACCGUAAAUCCGAUGUCUCUCCCUUCCUUAAAUCCUCCAAUGGCUUCCUAAUGUACUUGGAACACUAAUAAAACUUCCUUACCACGACCUUUGAGGCCGCACAUGACCUGUCCCCCAACCACAUCUCCUGAUUUUUUUCUCAUUGCACAAUCCCCUUUACACACUGUGUUCCACAGACACCAGCCUUUUUUGUCAAACACAUGAAGCAUAUUCCUCCUUCAGGUUCUCUGCACUUGGUAUUCCUCUUGCCUAGAGAGGUCACCCCCUUCUGAGCGCUACCAGGCAGUUGGGCAAGAUGUUCACAGUACAAGAUCAGGCAGAGCAAAGGGUGCCUUUUCUAAUUCAUACACUAUAGCAGCCAUCUGAGCUAGCAGCAGUCCUGUUUCCCUGGGAGGAUUCAUUCAUUCCUGAAACAAGUAUUAGUUGAGCACCAACAGUAAGUCAGGCACUGUUCUAGGCACUGGGAUUGUAGCCUCGAACCAGGCAGGCAGCCCUUUGCUACGUGGGAAGCCAGACACUA